This 454-nucleotide ribosomal RNA is filed under the name uncultured bacterium. RNAcentral's name for it is "partial 16S ribosomal RNA". It matches the Rfam family "Bacterial small subunit ribosomal RNA", at positions 28 to 507 of the family's 1533-position model. The record is from RNAcentral.
GAUGAACGCUGACAGAAUGCUUAACACAUGCAAGUCUACUUGAACUUCGGUUUGGGUGGCGGACGGGUGAGUAACGCGUAAAGAACUUGCCUCACAGUUAGGGACAACAUUUGGAAACGAAUGCUAAUACCUGAUAUUAUGAUGUUAGGGCAUCCUAGGAUUAUGAAAGCUAUAUGUGCUGUGAGAGAGCUUUGCGUCCCAUUAGCUAGUUGGAGAGGUAACGGCUCACCAAGGCGAUGAUGGGUAGCCGGCCUGAGAGGGUGAACGGCCACAAGGGGACUGAGACACGGCCCUUACUCCUACGGGAGGCAGCAGUGGGGAAUAUUGGACAAUGGACCAAAAGUCUGAUCCAGCAAUUCUGUGUGCACGAUGACGUUUUUCGGAAUAUAAAGUGCUUUCAGUUGGGAAGAAAAAAAUGACGGUACCAACAGAAGAAGUGACGGCUAAAUACGUG